GAAGGAUUCUAACAGUCUAGCAAACAUUGAGAUGACUAAGAACUAACAACCAGAGUCCUGUUACUGCAGUGAGGUUAAGGCUAGUUCUGAGCUCCACGUUUCCUGGUGCUGGAAUCCUCCCUUACCUAGCUAGUGUCACUACUGGAAGAGAGAUGCUUCAUUCCUAUUCCUCUACCCACCCAACAGAUACUGUGAGGUCUUACCUUGGUGAUUCCAGAAUUCUAAAAUAAAUGGAAAGAGCCUCAACUAUCAAACUGACAAUGCAAUAGUUUUCUGAAAUGCUGAAAGAAAAGAAAGGCUUGGAUCAUGAAGAACUCAAAAGUAGGACUGAAAUUUUUUCUCCAAGUAGCAAGUCCUUGAUGAAAGACUUGAUUGGCUCAGCUUUAACCAGAGGCCAUUCCCAGGACCAUUCAAAAAACCAGAGGUGGGGCCAGGUUUUUCCUGGCAUGACUUUCAUUUCUCAGAAAGGGAUAAAGAAAGUCCCUGGCAACCUGAGCACUGCAGUCUUCCUUUGGCACCAGCUAAAAGUCUAA
This 533-nucleotide long non-coding RNA is filed under the name Canis lupus familiaris (dog). RNAcentral's name for it is "lncRNA (ENSCAFG00000045135.2, ENSCAFG00845026985.1)". The record is from RNAcentral. Lineage: Eukaryota; Metazoa; Chordata; Mammalia; Carnivora; Canidae.